Molecule: ribosomal RNA, 423 nt
Filed under: Afipia sp. RB2-2
Lineage: Bacteria; Pseudomonadati; Pseudomonadota; Alphaproteobacteria; Hyphomicrobiales; Nitrobacteraceae
Description: bacterial SSU rRNA
Rfam family: Bacterial small subunit ribosomal RNA
Source: RNAcentral
AGCGAACGCUGGCGGCAGGCUUAACACAUGCAAGUCGAACGGGCGUAGCAAUACGUCAGUGGCAGACGGGUGAGUAACGCGUGGGAACGUACCUUUUGGUUCGGAACAACACAGGGAAACUUGUGCUAAUACCGGAUAAGCCCUUACGGGGAAAGAUUUAUCGCCGAAAGAUCGGCCCGCGUCUGAUUAGCUAGUUGGUGAGGUAACGGCUCACCAAGGCGACGAUCAGUAGCUGGUCUGAGAGGAUGAUCAGCCACAUUGGGACUGAGACACGGCCCAAACUCCUACGGGAGGCAGCAGUGGGGAAUAUUGGACAAUGGGGGCAACCCUGAUCCAGCCAUGCCGCGUGAGUGAUGAAGGCCCUAGGGUUGUAAAGCUCUUUUGUGCGGGAAGAUAAUGACGGUACCGCAAGAAUAAGCCCCG